RNAcentral lists this ribosomal RNA (1591 nucleotides) under uncultured Debaryomyces. Its description in RNAcentral is "SSU rRNA". It matches the Rfam family "Eukaryotic small subunit ribosomal RNA", at positions 185 to 1801 of the family's 1831-position model. The record is from RNAcentral. Lineage: Eukaryota; Fungi; Ascomycota; Saccharomycetes; Saccharomycetales; Saccharomycetaceae.
GGGCACAAAGGGACAUGGGAAGGGGUGUAUUUAUUAGAUAAAAAAUCAAUGUCUUCGGACUCUUUGAUGAUUCAUAAUAACCUUUCGAAUCGCAUGGCCUUGUGCUGGCGAUGGUUCAUUCAAAUUUCUGCCCUAUCAACUUUCGAUGGUAGGAUAGUGGCCUACCAUGGUUUCAACGGGUAACGGGGAAUAAGGGUUCGAUUCCGGAGAGGGAGCCUGAGAAACGGCUACCACAUCCAAGGAAGGCAGCAGGCGCGCAAAUUACCCAAUCCUAAUUCAGGGAGGUAGUGACAAUAAAUAACGAUACAGGGCCCAUUCGGGUCUUGUAAUUGGAAUGAGUACAAUGUAAAUACCUUAACGAGGAACAAUUGGAGGGCAAGUCUGGUGCCAGCAGCCGCGGUAAUUCCAGCUCCAAUAGCGUAUAUUAAAGUUGUUGCAGUUAAAAAGCUCGUAGUUGAACCUUGGGCUUGGUUGGCCGGUCCGCCUUUUUGGCGAGUACUGGACCCAACCGAGCCUUUCCUUCUGGCUAACCUUUCGCCCUUGUGGUGUUUGGCGAACCAGGACUUUUACUUUGAAAAAAUUAGAGUGUUCAAAGCAGGCCUUUGCUCGAAUAUAUUAGCAUGGAAUAAUAGAAUAGGACGUUAUGGUUCUAUUUUGUUGGUUUCUAGGGCCAUCGUAAUGAUUAAUAGGGACGGUCGGGGGCAUCAGUAUUCAGCUGUCAGAGGUGAAAUUCUUGGAUUUACUGAAGACUAACUACUGCGAAAGCAUUUGCCAAGGACGUUUUCAUUAAUCAAGAACGAAGGUUAGGGGAUCGAAGAUGAUCAGAUACCGUCGUAGUCUUAACCAUAAACUAUGCCGACUAGGGAUCGGGUGUUGUUCUUUUUUUGACGCACUCGGCACCUUACGAGAAAUCAAAGUCUUUGGGUUCUGGGGGGGAGUAUGGUCGCAAGGCUGAAACUUAAAGGAAUUGACGGAAGGGCACCACCAGGAGUGGAGCCUGCGGCUUAAUUUGACUCAACACGGGGAAACUCACCAGGUCCAGACACAAUAAGGAUUGACAGAUUGAGAGCUCUUUCUUGAUUUUGUGGGUGGUGGUGCAUGGCCGUUCUUAGUUGGUGGAGUGAUUUGUCUGCUUAAUUGCGAUAACGAACGAGACCUUAACCUACUAAAUAGUGCUGCUAGCUUUUGCUGGUAUAGUCACUUCUUAGAGGGACUAUCGAUUUCAAGUCGAUGGAAGUUUGAGGCAAUAACAGGUCUGUGAUGCCCUUAGACGUUCUGGGCCGCACGCGCGCUACACUGACGGAGCCAACGAGUAUUAACCUUGGCCGAGAGGUCUGGGAAAUCUUGUGAAACUCCGUCGUGCUGGGGAUAGAGCAUUGUAAUUAUUGCUCUUCAACGAGGAAUUCCUAGUAAGCGCAAGUCAUCAGCUUGCGUUGAUUACGUCCCUGCCCUUUGUACACACCGCCCGUCGCUACUACCGAUUGAAUGGCUUAGUGAGGCCUCCGGAUUGGUUUAAAGAAGGGGGCAACUCCAUCUUGGAACCGAAAAGCUGGUCAAACUUGGUCAUUUAGAGGACACUGCCGUAAUGGCC